Falco peregrinus (peregrine falcon) is the source of this 2083-nucleotide long non-coding RNA. RefSeq lists it as uncharacterized. The record is from RefSeq and is a predicted model, not a curated record. The transcript is spliced from 3 exons. Lineage: Eukaryota; Metazoa; Chordata; Aves; Falconiformes; Falconidae.
GCGGAGCGUUCCGGAUGAAUGCGACGGCCCCGCUGGCCGCCGCCCGCCCCCGUGGUUUUGCGGCGGGCGCCGCUGCCCCGGCCCGGCCGGCAGCAGGCGGAGCGGCUGCACCCUCCCGCCGCGCAGCGCUGAUUCAGUGCCCAGGGGAACGGGGAGCGUUUUCUCUCCUGAUGUAACCUCAUUUCUGCCAGCCUGACUGGCUCUGCUGUAACACCACUGUGCAGGAAGCUCGCGGGUGAUACCAGCUGCUGGAAGCGAACGCGACUCCCGAGUUAGCUGGCGUACGAGCUCCGCCGCGGAGCGGUGACAGCGGGGGUGCAGGCGGGGGGCCGCGCCGCGCUGCGGGGCAGGGCCAGGGUUAGCCCUUGGUUGACAGGGGCGAACUCCGCGCAGAGGUGUAUCAGAAAGCUUCCCAACUCACUAGCCGGAGGUGGUAUUUCAAAUGCAGCUGUGAUGCUUCGUGGAUCUAUCCUGACCACGCAUUCCCAGUCACUUGUCCUCUUGCUAGUCUGUCCUGGAAGACAGAGCUGUCAUCAAAAUGCAUUCCUGAGGCUUUCCAUAAAGCGAAUACUCCAGGCUAUGCUGAUUGAUAAGAACACAUCCUCCUCAGUAAUCAGAAUCUACAUUAGAAAAGUCUUAGGCCUCCGCAUCCUUGGGUAAAGACACACCCAUCUACCUAUUACAUUCCUUUCCUGAUGACGUGCCUAUUCAAGGGAACGUUCUGAUAAUUUCACUCAUGGUGCCAUAUACAUUAAUUUGACCACUUCCAUGAGACAGUGUGGCAUCUCAUAAGUAAGUGCACAUUGGUUCUAAACUUAAGUAGUAUUUAUUACAGCUAGAACUGUCUUCUUCAGCAAGAUGUUAGCAUUUCAGCUGCACUUUCUACCGAGUAAUAUAAUUAGCUGCUAUUGUACCACUUGGUGUAAGCUUAAGCAUCUUUCCCCACCAAUCUGAAAGUGAUUAACACUGUGAGAAUAAAUUUUCAUAGUAUUGUUGUUAUUAUUCUUUGUUUAGAAAAUAGAAACUUCCUUCUUUGCAUACAAAAAUAGGAUAUGACCACCAGCUUUUACAGAAAACUAUUUGGUGUGUUCAAGCCCUCAGAAGACAAUGACACUUCCAUCACAAUGGGAUUGGAUUAAGUGAUAAAGGAAACAACCACAAAUGUGACAUAGAAAGCCUCCUUAUCAUUACUUCUUUCUACUAAUUACAAGAUCAUACGUUAUAAAAAACAAGACAAUAACAUUAUCUCAAUUUCACCUGCUAUUCAAAUGUUUUCUAAUAGUGCAGACUUUUUUUUUUUUUCUUUCAGCUGAAGGAUUUACAAAAGUACAGUACUUUGAGUAUCCCUCUUUGUCAUACAUUUUCUAGCAGCAAAAUCAGUCUAUACUUCAGUGGAAGCUGAGCAAACAGAUCGGAAGAAAUAAGCUCACUUUCAAAUGUACCCUUAGAUAAUGAGCAUCUAAUGGUUUAAAGACACAGUACCACUGGUUGUGAUUUUUAAAGCAUCCAUUGCUUUGUAUCAAAGCCCUGCAUACAUUAAUUUUUUUCUGAGAGAGGCUACAUAGAUGAAGAUGCAUGUGUGAUAUCUGUUAUAAAAUAAAACGUUUUAGAUUCCCUGGAAAAAUCUCAUGCCUUCUGAGUAACUGAGUAACAAUUACACAGUAUAGACCAGUAAAAGCACGCACAAUUUCUGUUUGGGUAUGCACUAUGCAAAGAGACUUUAAGCACUCAUUAACUACAUCUAGUUGCUUGCAUAUACUUCAGUGAAAAAAAGCCAUACAUAAAAAGAAAGCUUCUAUUCCUCUAAAACAAAUAAUGGAGGACAAAGAAUAUGAUGCAAUGGUAAACAUGUUACAUGAAGUUUCAUUAUCGAAAGGUAUACAUGUGCAUCAUACACAUUUACACUUAAAAAAAUAGAGUCUGUAACACAAAUUAGUAAGUUUUAUUUGCACUUGUGGCAACUGGGUAUUAUCUGAUAAGACUUUUUUGUAUGUUAUGAUCUUGCUAAUUGUUCUGUGUUAAUCUGAUUUUCAAGAGACUUCUGAGAAGGUAUACUUCAGUAAACGUAUUGGUUUUUAACAAA